Molecule: small RNA, 82 nt
Filed under: Flavobacterium urumqiense
Lineage: Bacteria; Pseudomonadati; Bacteroidota; Flavobacteriia; Flavobacteriales; Flavobacteriaceae
Description: Flavo-1 RNA
Rfam family: Flavo-1 RNA
Source: RNAcentral
CCUUAGCCCCGAUAGCAGUGAAAAUCCUUUUUAUUCGCCUUUUUGGAGGAUAAAAAGAUUGCAAUGUAUAGCGGGAAUAGCU